This 21-nucleotide non-coding RNA is filed under the name Arabidopsis thaliana (thale cress). Lineage: Eukaryota; Viridiplantae; Streptophyta; Magnoliopsida; Brassicales; Brassicaceae. The record is from RNAcentral.
UACGAAUCGGUCCUGAAAGCU